CGGGGUGAGUAAUGCUUGGGAAUCUAGCUUAUGGAGGGGGAUAACUACGGGAAACUGUAGCCAAUACCGCGUAGUAUCGGAAGAUGAAAGUGUGGGACCUUCGGGCCACAUGCCAUAGGAUGAGCCCAAGUGGGAUUAGGUAGUUGGUGAGGUAAAGGCUCACCAAGCCGACGAUCUCUAGCUGGUCUGAGAGGAUGACCAGCCACACUGGGACUGAGACACGGCCCAG
Molecule: ribosomal RNA, 229 nt
Filed under: uncultured bacterium
Lineage: Bacteria
Description: partial 16S ribosomal RNA
Rfam family: Bacterial small subunit ribosomal RNA
Source: RNAcentral